UCUCCUCAACUGCGUCUCCCUCAUUCCCUCCCUCCUCCCUCUCUUAAUCUCUCUCCUCUCACUGGCAGCCGGUGAGAAAACAACUGUCACGCAAGAAGCAGCGCGGCCUCAAUCUCUCUCCUCUCACGACGAAUUUCGCUGAUUGCAGGUUUAGGUUGUUUAAAUUGGGGGUUUUUGGAAAUAAGGUUGAUAAACUUGGGAUUUUGUAGUUGAGAAUUGGACACGGGCCACGGAGCGCCAGAGACACAACCACUGUUUCUGGUCCACCGAGAUUGUGGCGCGCGUGGCAUCGGAAUCCGACCGGGGGCAACAGGAGCAUCGGGAGAUUGAUGUUGUGUAAUUGCACUAUGAAGGUGGAUCAUGCUUCUGUAUUGGUACGGUAUGAAGAGGACUAGUGUCCUUGCGGUUGUGAUUUAGACGAGAUUUCUCUUUUGCAAAUACAUUUAGGGGCGUGUAAGAUGAUUCCUAUCCAGCUGUUGGAAAAUUAUGUCCUUCAUCAGGAUAUCUGCCUGAUUGAUGAACUCUUGGGGGCAGUUGCUUGGUUGUACCGAGCUGCUAAUAUCGAGGAAAUACAAACAUAUGAAGGAGAGUAAUAGCAUGCUAUAUUAUUUGAUUACUUAAAGGUUGAUUAUUGGAAGCGGAAGAAGAGAAUGACAUUGUAUUUUCAGAUUUAUACUUGUAAAUGGGAUUUUUUUUCAUCUUAAUCAUUAGUCAUUUAUUUAUUUUGAUGCUAAGUCAUGUCGUUCGACAAUGACAUUUUUG
Molecule: long non-coding RNA, 762 nt
Organism: Spinacia oleracea (spinach)
Lineage: Eukaryota; Viridiplantae; Streptophyta; Magnoliopsida; Caryophyllales; Amaranthaceae
Exons: 5
Source: RefSeq, a predicted model, not a curated record